ACGCGAGGUCUUGAGUUUGUGUGUCCCAACAAGCAUCCAGAUUAUUCUAUGGAAAAGUGUCGUUUUAGAGAGUGGCUAUAUGGUCCGAAGUCUCAUUGGCCGGAGGAAAAGAAGAAAAAGAAUGACAGGAUUAUUACCGCAGCGCCUCCGGUUAAAUGCAAGUGUGGUGUUGAGGCUAGCUACGGCUUAGUUCCUUCCGAACUAGGAGUCGGAUAUUUUUGUGGUCAUAUGGUAGACUACGAUGUGAGCACUAGGAAAUGUGACUGGGAGUAUUGGCAUGGGAAAAGAGACUUCUACCAAACCUGCGAGCAAAAGAAAGCACUAGGCA
Molecule: long non-coding RNA, 328 nt
Organism: Sorghum bicolor (sorghum)
Lineage: Eukaryota; Viridiplantae; Streptophyta; Magnoliopsida; Poales; Poaceae
Exons: 3
Source: RefSeq, a predicted model, not a curated record